This is a non-coding RNA of Pelobates cultripes (western spadefoot toad), 1956 nucleotides long. Lineage: Eukaryota; Metazoa; Chordata; Amphibia; Anura; Pelobatidae. The record is from the annotation of a GenBank genome assembly.
GAGAGAAGGUGAAGAGAGGUAAUUCAAAGAGAGAGAGAAUGUGCUAUUCACAAGGCUUUAAACAGGUUAGCCCCUCCUUCUGCUGGACACACCUCCCUUAGUCAAUCCCUUAGGAUGUAACAGAACCAGAGUGCCUCCUGGGGGAAGGGGGAUUGCAUUGGAAGGGAAUGGAGGAGGAGUUUAUCAACAAACCAACUGAUUUUGCCUGGUGAAAGGCCAUGUGCUUCACAGAGGACUCCAUUAUUGCCUAAGGGUAGAAUGGGGGCUUGAAUCCCUGUAUUAGAACACAAUAACACUUCAUUGGCAUACAGUUUGGCUGUUAAUCACAUCCCCCCACUUAUUACAUCCCUCCUAUUGGCAAUGAAGUGGAUGAGACACUUAGACUCUAUAAAACCCAUCAGAGAUAAGAGAGAGAGAUAAUGCAUCCUGUGUAUCUACUUAUGUGAAUGCACAACCCAUUGUCACAAUAGAGCUCUUUCCAUUUACAUAUCAUAUUGGAGAUGAUAUACUCUAACAAUCAAUGACUUCAAGUAACAACACAUACCAACCUGAUUAAAAAUGCAUACUAUAGAAAACACACAAUACAAUAAUAAAUGGGUGAAUUAAUACAUUUUCCAUGGCAGUACCCCAUGAUGAUUGGUUUCGGAAGUGAGUUUUUUUUUAUUUCUUCCACCAGGUAGUACUAGCCAUGUCAGUAAAUAAAUGUUCAGUUAGUUAAAGUUCUUGUUGUUGAUGAAAGAACUCAGCACAGGUUUGUUGAUCCUUCUGUGUCCAAACCUCCAUUAAAGUAUUGAUAGUUCUCUGAAUUUAACACCCUCAGACUGGAGUGUUGCAGUCAUACUAUAUAUAUCAAUUAUAUUUACAAAACCCAACCCAGUACCCACACCUCCCAGAACCGUACCCAAGACAACCCUCCUAUUCCUAGUUCUACUUCUUGUCACCCAUCUGACUAAAACCUUAUUAAUAGUGGAUGUGACCCUAGAACAGUUCUGAAAGUGUGAUGAAACUAGCCAAUCUGUUAGUCGAAUCAAUUGGAAAGUAACAUUCCUAACUAUAGGGGUAGGUCUCAGUGAACAUAUUUGGAAAUUACCACUAGAGACCACUCUAAUCUUCUGACACUCAGGUCUGCUCCCAUUAUCCAUUAGUGAAGGAGUUGUAUGAAUAUAGGUGAAAGGAGGAGUCAGGAUUGUAGGCUCUAUCUCUUCCUCUACAUUCAACAAGACCUUCAAUUCCCCACCCCUAUUGUGUCUUACUGUUCCCCAAUUUAUCCCCUUUAUGAUUAAUGUAUCCACUAUAAUUAGUGUUAUAUGAUACUCUCUAAGAUUGUUAUUAAUAUUAUAACUAGGGUUAGUAACAUUUCAUAACAUUUCAUUUCAUAUUAAUAUUUCCUCCCUCCAGAUCUACAACCAGUUUUCCCCAACCAGUUCAUAUUCAUUCCCAUUUUCCUCAACCAGUCCAUAUACAUUCCCAAUGUUCUUAAUUUCCCUUAUUGUCUUUUCCAAAAUCCCUUGAAAGAAUCACGUUGCUUUAGCCAAACAAUCUUGACCACCCACCCAAAAUUAAAUGUCACAUCUACAUAUGGAACUUGUAGAUUGUCACUGCUGUCCUCUGUUAAGUCUUUGGUAGAUCGAGCUGCAUUUGCAUAGAUACAGCUGUUGUUGCUUUGGCCUGUGACAAGCUGUUCCAUCACUUUCCAGGUGAGUUUUAGCAUGUUGAGUGACAUCCAUGUCUCGGUACUUUUGGAAAAAUCUGUAAGAGAUCAAGAAGGCGUAUCAGUUCUUAGCAGAUAACUCUGUACCUGGGGAACAAGCCCCUUUUUAUAAAUUACGUUGGACUACAUGGACUGACUUGUAUAGACCUCUGCAUUUUUACAAAUGUUUUGCCCAAUGUUUCUAGGAUUACAUAGGGCUCUUCCCAAUUUGCAUCCCAGGGAUAAUUUUGAUAAAAUGUUUAAUC